CCUACGGGAGGCAGCAGUGGGGAAUAUUGCGCAAUGGGCGAAAGCCUGACGCAGCAACGCCGCGUGCGGGAUGAAGGCCUUCGGGUUGUAAACCGCUUUCAGCAGGGAAGAAGCGAAAGUGACGGUACCUGCAGAAGAAGCACCGGCUAACUACGUGCCAGCAGCCGCGGUAAUACGUAGGGUGCAAGCGUUGUCCGGAUUUAUUGGGCGUAAAGAGCUCGUAGGCGGUUAGUCACGUCGGAUGUGAAAACCCAGUGCUUAACACUGGGCCUGCAUUCGAUACGGGCUGACUAGAGUGUUGUAGGGGAGACUGGAACUCCUGGUGUAGCGGUGAAAUGCGCAGAUAUCAGGAAGAACACCGGUGGCGAAGGCGGGUCUCUGGGCAACUACUGACGCUGAGGAGCGAAAGCGUGGGGAGCAAACAGGAUUAGAUACCCUGGUAGUCCACGCCGUAAACGGUGGGCGCUAGGUGUGGGGAACAUUCCACGUUCUCCGUGCCGCAGCUAACGCAUUAAGCGCCCCGCCUGGGGAGUACGGCCGCAAGGCUGAAACUCAAAGGAAUUGACGG
This 568-nucleotide ribosomal RNA is filed under the name uncultured Actinomycetes bacterium. RNAcentral describes it as "bacterial SSU rRNA". It matches the Rfam family "Bacterial small subunit ribosomal RNA", at positions 338 to 916 of the family's 1533-position model. Lineage: Bacteria; Bacillati; Actinomycetota; Actinomycetes. The record is from RNAcentral.